Molecule: long non-coding RNA, 5171 nt
Organism: Crotalus tigris (Tiger rattlesnake)
Lineage: Eukaryota; Metazoa; Chordata; Lepidosauria; Squamata; Viperidae
Exons: 2
Source: RefSeq, a predicted model, not a curated record
UGUUACUAACUUAACAACUGUAGUGAACAACUAUGGCAAGAAAUGUCAUAAAAUGGGGCAAAACUCACUUAACAAUUGUCUCGCUUAGCAACAGAAAUAUUGCACUCAAUUAUGGUUAUAAGUCGAAAACUACCUGUAUCGAAAACUAGAGAAUUUUGAGUUAUUUUUUAACAGGUAGUAUAAUUCUGAGGUUGCAUUGUAGAAUCUUGGAUUUGAGUCCCAAUUCUUCUUUGGACUUGUGAAGGUAGUUAAUGCCUAUCUGUGAAAUGGCAUAGAUAUUUAUAUUAACAUGAUGGGAAGUCAAGAUUUUAAAUGCUGAAUAAGGCAAUAAAGCAUUAAAUGAUAGAGUAACAGGUCUGACUAUACAAAUAGCACUUUCUAGAUAAUAAGCUCUUGUUAUCAUUCUGAACUUUCAACGUGUGGUAAUACAGAAAUCUGACGUUUGGCUGUCGGUCGUUAAAGGUCAGCAGCUCAGCAAGCAAAAAUAAGUUACCUUGUAACAGAAACAUAUUGUAUCUUCUGCAUUUUAAAUCAAAAUUUAUUAGCCAGAUGUGGAUUUUUGGAUUUUUUUCCCCCUGAUGGAUCAACAUGGCUAUGAUUCAGGGCUUUUUGGUAAAAUGUAAGCCCUUUGAGAAUAAAUAUUUACAAUAAAUUCAUUGUGCCAAAUAUAUUACAAUCCACCAGGGUGUACUUUUAGCAUACCCAAUUGAUGUGUUUGAAGGAACAUGAAGCAGGCUGACGUCCACAUCUGGAGAUCAUCUGGUUUGGUAAAGCUAUCAUAAAUAAGCCCAUUUUUAAUCUUGUACCCACCAGUGUGUUCAGCUCAGCAUAGCUAUGAAUAUUUCACAUACUGUUUCCUCAUGAAUAAAUGUAUGAAGGAUGCCUCAACUGUUUCAUCCAUAAAUAUUUCUAUCUUUGUUGAAAAUAGCAUGCUCAGGAUCAGGUUUUAUUAAUGUCAUAGACCAUGAUUUCCCUUUGCUGACAUAAUUUGUUUAAGGGAGGUUCAACUUUUGUCAAUUUCAUCAAUGCUGAAGAAAUUAUCUACUAAUCCUGACCCGAAGAGGAAACAGAGGGAGUUUCUGAUAUUUUUUCCCCUUCAAAAGAGUAUAUAUGCAUAACCAUAUUUACUUAUUAGUUUUACUGAGGAAUAGCAAAGAAAAUGGGGCAAGAGAUGAGACGAUAUGUGGAGUUUUAUUUGCAUCUAGUUGGAAAUCUGUAGAGCCGCAAGAAAUAGGAGAUUAUUCUCUCCUGCACAAGCUGGAGGAGCUGUGGUGUCAUUUAUAAGAAGAAAAUCUCAUUUGUGAAUGUUGAAAUGUACAUCAAGCUGAAAUGAGGGAAAACUCUGAAGUCACCGAUUUGUUUUAAAUGUUUUAAAUCUAUGUGAUUUUGACCUUAGGCAUAAAUGAGAUAUACUGAAAAACAAUGGAACAAAUUAUUUAUGACCUUUCAAAGGAAAUUGAUCACAGCCAAUUAAGCUGAAACCGCACCUUAGUCCAUUAAAUGAUAUCACAAAUUGCAGCUCACUGAAUCUCAAGCAUUGAUAUAUGAUAUGGUAAAAAUAUCUUACAAAUUUAAUGGCAACAUAAAUUUGUAAAUCCGGGUACAUGUAGUCAUUUAGGAUUGUAUAUAUCAUCUUUAUGGAUCCAAAAUGCAGAUGCUGAAAUUUAUUGUUUAUUAUUCACAAUUUAAUGAAAAAAUGUAUACUUUCUGGAAAAUUAGCCUUUGAACUGAGAUGAUCACAAGUUAUCUGAAAAUGACAGUGGUUGAAAUACUAUCAUAUUUAAAUAGAGUUGCUGUUUUUUUCUUACCAGGAAACUAUUUCUUCAAGUAUUUACAGAUUUAUCUUUGCUGGGCAUUAAAGGAAGCAAUGGGGAAUGAAGUCACAACGAGUGGCUAGAUCAGGGGUAGGCAACCUUGGCUCUUUUAUGACUUAUGGACUUCAACUCACAGAAUUCCUGAGCCAGCCAAGGUUGCUUAGCCCUGGGCUAGAUAAAUCAGGCUGGCUGAUUUAUUGGGCAGAUUGAACAAAGGGGCAUUAUUUUCCCAUUUUGAUUUCUAUGUGUUUGAGCUGAAAAGCACUCAGAGUAAAGGGUCACGACUGAAAAAUCUUCAUGAUUGCCUGUAUCAGCCAUUCUGCCUUCAUUUUUAAUAAAUUUUGGCUUUUCAAUUUGAGGAGCAAAAAGCAGUUCAAUUCCAGCUUGUUCAGAACUGGCUCUAUUAUUUUGUUUUGUUUUGUUUUUUUAAAAAAUCCUGUCCUUGAAAAUGGGCUAUGUUUCAAGCCAUGUGUUUUUCCCAGACAGCAUCUACAUUUUGAGUUUUGAAACGAAAGUAGUUCUCAUUCCUUUUUACCUUUAUCUUCCCCUCUCAAAAAUCUCAAAAAUUCAGCAUUAGCAUGACCAUUUCUCUUUCUGUGAGCAGCACUUCCUCUGUUGCACACUUGUGCAAAUGUACACAAUGUGGAUCCUUUUCCAGCUGAAUUGGGCCCAUCUUGGGGAAGACUCAGUUUAGAGAUUAUUCAUAUUGAUCUAACACCAUCCCAGGGCAUUUCAUUCCUAAUUUGAUCCCUUUUCCAUUUGUUUUUGCUGCUUGUAGAUUAAAUGCAGUUAUAAAUAUCUUAGCUCUCUUCUUCUGGCAUAUAUUAGCCCUGUAUGAUGAACAACUUUUUUUUAAAUUCUAAGAAAAAUAGUGGGACAACUCCUUUUCUGAAAAUUUGAGUUGUUUUAUACACAGACCUUUAUGAAGAAAGGUCAGCUCAACCUAAAACAAACUGGAUUUUAAGAAUUCCCCCAUUCAUUCCAAUGGGGCCAAUGCAAAGGGUUUAACAUCUGUGCGAAGGACCCACUCCAUUGAAGUGAAUGGGAAAGUCCUGAAGUGCACGAACUCUAGAAAUAUUGUUAGGCAUGAUGAUAAGUUAUUCUCUUUCUAGUAAAAACAAAGAUUGUGUUCACAUUUUGAAUUAAGAUAUACUUAGCUAUAUUCUGUUUGAUUGCUUUACAAACCACAGUGGCCGCUAGACUCAUAUAAUAAGCUAAGACAAAGUAACUGAAUAUAGUUUGCCAUUAGCUAUUGUCUGUGACUAUUUCUAUUGACACAAUACCAGGGCUUUUUUUGUCAUAGAACGCCCAGAACGGAGUUACGGCACCUUUUUUGGAUGGAACCUUGUAGGUUAGGCAAGGUGUGUUGUAUGUCAUGUGUGAGUUCCGGCACCUUUUGUUUUUACAAAAAAAAGCACUGCACAAUACUAUACAAUAUAAUUUAAAAUGUGUAUCUUAGCACCUUUGGUGAACGCAGUCAGCUGUAGUUAUUCAGCAAACCUUAAUUUAACACGAAGCAUGAGUAGAUUCAUUUCCAUACAGUGUAAAAUUGAGCCCUUUGCCAAAUAUUUUGUGCAUUUGUUUCCUGGUGAUCAACAAUAACCUUCUUUUAAAGACAGAUUGAAAAAAAAAGUCAUUGUAUUAAGAUGAUUUGCUGUCAAACUGCAGAAUUCAGUGUACUUUUCAGAGGUUGUUAGAAACUUUUGAAUGGACCUUUGAAAUGAAGCUGAGGGAGAUGGAGGCGCACACACAACUGGGCAAUGGGCAUUUCCCUAACUCACUUCUAAAACCAGAAAAGGGAUUCUCUGCAUGGUAGAAUACCUCAUUUCCAUGCUGGACACUUCCCUUUUCAUCUGAGUUUGAUGUUCUGCCUAGAAUAGUCACUAUAAAUCAGAAUAGGCUAUGUUGAGAAACACUGGCGCUAGACCAAAUAAAUAAGCUGACUUAUCUAAAGCAAGGAAACUUCCCAUCUCUCCUUUGCUGUAUGGUGGAUUUGUGAUUCUUUUCAGAAGCAAUUUGUGCUCUAGAGUAGAAGUCAACAUUUUUUGGUUCCAAGCUGUGUAUUUUGCAGUCUCGGGAGCCCCAUCUGACCACAAUUGUGGAAAAUAAUGAAAUAUAGAAAUAUAUGUAAUAUACUGAAGAAUAAGGAUUCUUCUGUUGAAGGAAUGUGCUGAAAGGGAGGGCGAUGACACUGCUAUCAGAAUGGCCAAAGUGAUUACUUUGUGUUAUUUCCCUUGUUUCAAAGACUGUUCAUAUAUUUAUAUAACCACGUGGCAAGGGCCUCUCCUUCACAUGUUAAAUAACAACAGAAAGUAUGGAUUUUCAGCACUGCUUCAAAUAUCUACAAGCACUAUUUAUAUGAUUAUAGGAACCGGCCUUAUUCUAGCUAGAUCAUCAGUCUGGGCAGCCCAGUAUUGCCCUUUAAGAUCUGCAAAACAUUAAAAUCCCAAUUUAUUUCAAAUUGUUUUUCACCAUCUGUAAUCUGAUCUUUGCUUUAACCAAAAUAUGAAUCUGGGAUCUUUUGCAUGUAAAACAGGUAUUCUGUCACUGAACUUUAGUCUCUCUAAAAGGGGAUAUUGACAAUCACAUACAGUUUAGGAUGCCAGCAAUGAUCAGACUUCUGGGGAUUAAGAAUAAUUAAAUAUGACCAUAAAUGAAAAGUAUAAAGCCUUACCAGACCAGGACUACAGUUGGAGUCAUGGAAUUGCAAUUCCAUGGUUCAGCUCUGAUCUUUAAUUUGAAAGCCUGCCAAAAUCCUUGCACACUUAAGUUCCCUUUUUACAGAUGCACUAUGUGUUUAGCUUAUUGCUUGCACACUUUUCCUUUGUGAAAAUCUGGCCCUUUAGGGCUUUUUGCCUAGGGUAUGUGCAAUAGUUAGCAGCUUGCUUCUACAUAUACUGCACAAGGAGCAACAAGAAAACUUGUUUAAAAAAAUGUCAACUUAUGGUAAUCUCUGCAAAUAUGUGCCAAUGUUCUUUGUGGUGUAGAUCUGAGUUCAUUGAAAAAUCUUCUUGUAAAGACACUGAUUGUAACUGAUGGCUUCUAUGAACAUUCAGAAUUCUCUUUGCCAAAUCUGGAUGCUAUUGAAAUUCUACAAGAUGAAGUUAAUUGCAUAGAUGUGGAAUUUUUCAUUUUCACUUUUGCCUUUCUCAGUUUUAGGGUAUUGCUUUUGUUCAUUGGAUUUAAAUGCACAAUUUAGCAGUGAACUAUAUGCCAGUAGUAACAAGAUUUGGAAAGAUCCUUUAUUUUCAUUGUCAAAUUAGGGAUGGGUUUUGACCUCAGAAAUUAUUAUCAGAGAAGUCUUUGGACAAAGCAGAUGUAUAUAAAUGUCUAUUUUAUAUAAAAAUGAUAAAAGUA